Molecule: ribosomal RNA, 1503 nt
Filed under: Triticum aestivum (bread wheat)
Lineage: Eukaryota; Viridiplantae; Streptophyta; Magnoliopsida; Poales; Poaceae
Description: partial small subunit ribosomal RNA
Source: RNAcentral
AUGGAAUAUCUCUAUGUCAAGAAGUACCAAACAGACAAGCUGAAGCAGAAACGGAUAACAACGACUUUGGGAGGCUGCAUAUAUCAGCUAGCAGUUCGGUGUCUAGACUUCAACAAUUUUGGAUCAAUAACAAUCCCUCCAGCACUACCUAGGAUUUGUUUCUGGAAAGGACAAACCAUUAAACAUUUCAGUGAUAUGCUCCUCGGGAAAGAUGGACUCUAUGGAGCUCUUCAAAUCAAAGAUGAGGCAGAAACUUGCUAUGCACAAACUGACGGUGCAUGGGCAAGCACCGCCAAGAACUCAAACAUAAAAAAAGCUAUACAAAGGGUCUUAGGCAACUCUUUUUCAGAGAAGAUCAAAGAAGAUAUAUUCCUCAGUUUCCAGGAGCGCAUAAAAGAUCAAAACCUGACCACAUGUCUGAUAGCAAAACAAGUGCUGCUAGACAGUUUGAACAUUGUUUCUUCUUAUUUCAAUGGCUCUCAACGUACAGAGAAGUUAGAGUCCUCCGAGCAUUUAUACAUGCCAACUGACGAAGAUAAUGGGUCUGGCAGUACUAUUAGAGUUGAUUCCAAUGGGAUUGAAAUAAACAGUGAUGGAAGAGGCAGGAAGAAGAGAAUGAAGACUAGUACACAACAGUCAGAAACUUCAGAAACUAAGGACAAUCAAUUGGAAGUUAAAAUAAAGGGAGGCAUACUUGAAGUAGUUGUAGAAGGAGGUGAAGCCGAAAUGCAGUCACUACCGGGCAAUGGUCACACAAACAAGCUCGAAAAAGAAGCUCGAAUGGAACAAACCAUGCAGAAUAGCAACAUUGCAACACAGCAACCAGAGAUGAAUAUGCUUGAUGCAGAUACCAAUAUCCCCAAGUGCACUGCUUGUGAUUGUUCUGCUCAAAAAGAAGCACCAGAAAAGAGCACUAGUCUGAACUACAUGUUGUUAUCAGCUAGAUUGGCAAGAGCACUGGAAACGACAGAACAAGACAUCAACUCAAAGGAGGAAGCCAGCACGCAUGUACCACCAACUUUCCCAGGUUUCCAACAAAACGCUAUUAACAGUAAUCAAUCUGAGCAUUGCAUCGAAACCAAGACAUUGUAUCAAGAAAACAAAGCAGCAGCAAUUGAGUGUGUGGAACUAGACACCACUGCCUCCCCACAAGACAACAAUAACCAAGAUGAUUUUCGUUUCAAUGAAGUCAAGGAGCAGGGGAAACAUGCAGGACUUGAUAUUGAUAUCAACAUAUCACUAUCAAACAGUGGUGUAGAUGACAAGCUGAAACAUGUGGAAGAUUUCCAACACACUAUGCAUCCAUUGGACGUUGCAAGACAAAAGUAUUUCUUUUCUGAUGAUAUGACACCUAGCUGCAGAAUUUUUGUUGACCAUGAUGAUUGUGGGAACGAAAUAACAGAGCCAGAAUUGUGGCGUGAUUUAGACAUGGACUCGAAUGCAUACGAAGCCCAGAUAGAGAAGCUAAGAAAAAAUAUCCAUGGAAUACAAGUAAGGACAUAA